Molecule: long non-coding RNA, 36872 nt
Filed under: Gossypium barbadense (sea-island cotton)
Lineage: Eukaryota; Viridiplantae; Streptophyta; Magnoliopsida; Malvales; Malvaceae
Description: long non-coding RNA (GBAR_LNC013108)
Source: RNAcentral
CUGCACAUUCCUUGUUAUAUUUUUUCUCCUUCAUGGGGCAUCUUAUUUGAAAAUCAGUCACAUAAUCCCACCACACCCAGGGCCUAUUGGUCUCAUUUGCCACUUUGAAAACACAAAGCUGCCUUAAGUUCUCAAUAACUACAUCUUUCCCUUCAUAACCUGAGCUAAAAUCUUGUUCAGGAUCCGGUGCACAGUAUCUUCCGCGGUUGAUGCAUUGAGAUUUGCACUGUCGGCUUAGUGUGAAAGCUUGAGGGCAGUACCAAGUUAUAUAAUGGGGUGUGAACUGCGAAUAGCCACCUUUUUCGAGUAUCUGAGCAGCACCCUUGAAAUCCUUCACAAAUGCCAUCAGCAUAUCACAUUUAACUCCACAUUCAUCAUUGCUGUUGGUCCAUAACUCGUACUCGACACGAUCAUCAGGGUGUGGAACAGCCUCUCGCCAAUCAAGAUUAACAUUGACCAUAUCCCCACCACUGAUAGCUUUCUUUAGAGUUUCACCAAAAGUUUUCUCGAUAAGGGCAGAUGGAAUUGUUAUAUUUUCAAUGUAUUUGGCAGAUGAACUGUCCUCUUCAGGAUUGUCCAUGGUUAUUAAUGCUUCUUCAAUAUCAUCCGCAACAAGCACUGCAGAAGCACCUGCUUGCUGUACAUUCCAAACCUUUAAAGCAAAGAAGCAAUCUGGAAAAAUAAUAAGAAAAAAAGCGCUAAAUGCAGUCUCCGCAAAUAUAUUUAUCAAAAACUAAAGAAAACUUACAUCUAAGACCAUAACUCAAUCAAGGACAAUAAGCAAAUUUUACAACCUUAGCAGCAACUGGUGUCCGUAUAUAGGCAACACUUCAGAUUUUUCUCAUCUCUUUAACAGUGUAAUCACAUUAUAGUAAUGUAACUGAAUUAUCUAAUCCGGAAGUAACUAUAAGCCAUUACUACCUAAUGCUUAGAUCAACCAGCAUUUUGAACCUUGUUUUUAUCACCACACAUCUGUUUGAGAACCAACCAAACUCAAAUCAUACACUCUAAAUAUAUGUUCACUCGGACUCGGGUAUGAGUUUCAAAUAUAGGCACAUGUUUGACACGGAUAUGUUUGUUUUUGUUUUUCAUGUAUCUGGAGGAUCUUUGAAAAGUCAUGUGUCCCCAUAUGCAUGUUCGGUUAUUGAGUCUAAAACGGGUACUUCAAACGGAUAUCUAGAGGAUUAUUAACAGCGUAAUCACAUUGUAGUAAUGCAACUGAAUUAUCUAAUCCGGAGGUAACUAUAAGCCAUUACUACAAAAUGCUUAGAUCACCAUUAUUUCGAAACUCAUUUUUAUUAUCAUACAUCUGUUUAAGAACCAACCAAACUCAAAUCAUACACUCUAAAUCUAUGUUCACUUGGACUUGGGUACGAGUUUCAAAUAAAGGUAUGUGUUUGACACUGAUAUAUUCAAUUUUUUUUCAUGUACCUAGAGGAUCUUCGAAAAGACAUAUCACCGCACGCAUGUUCAGAUAUUGAGUCUAAAACGGGUACUUCAAGCAAAACUGAGAGUCAGAGAAACUUAGCUCUAAACCACUUUAUCCAAUCCGGAGAAAACUAUAAGCCAUUACUACGAAAUUCUUAGAUAACCAGCAUUUUGAAAUUCAUUUUUAUUAUCAUACAUCUAUCUUGAGAACCAACCAAACUCAAAGCAUACACUCUAAACCUAUGUUCACUUGGACUCGGGUAUGAGUUUCAAAUACAGGCAUGUGUUUGAACAGAUAUAUUCAAAUUUUUUUCAUGUACCUAGAAGGAUCUUUGAAAAAUCAUAUCACCGUACACAUGUUCGGAUAUUGAGUCUAAAACUGGUACUUAAAGCAAAACCAAGAAUCAGAGAAACUUAGCUCUACUUUUGUAGACACCUCUAAGGCUAUAUCCCUAUGAAAGGAGGGAAAUGAAGCUAAAAAAAUGGACCUAAUUUCAGAAAACAACUAGUAAGAUAAAAAGAGAAAAAGACAUCCGUCCAAACAACUUAAAGCAAAGCUGAAAACAAGUAAAUUAAUACAUAAAUGAAUGAAUAAAUAUAUAAAUAAUGAUAAUGAAAUCAAUGGAAACUGAUAAACCUAAAUUUAUUUAAAUGAAUUAGAGUUAAAAAAUAACAACAUAAAUCCAAGUAGAUGAAAAAACCAAAUCAAUUAACCCUCAAAUCCCAAACUAACAAAUAAAUUAUUGCCCCAUAAAUAAACCAAAUCCAACAAAUUGAACUAUAAACCUAAUAUUAAAAAUUCCCCAAAUUGGAAAUACUCAAAUUAGCUAAAACAACACAAAAAUUCCUCAUCGGUCAACCAUACAACAAACAAAUUAUAGCUCAAAUAAACAAAAUCACAGAUUAAUUUUUCUUAUAAGGCGAAAAAUUUGAAAAAAAAAGGGUACCUCCACGAUCGACCAAAACAAAGGUAGGAAGAGAACCAGGCUUGGAUUUAAACGAAAUCCCAAAGUCAUCAAAGCUUUUACAAGCCUUUUGGUUUUCUUUAGGGUAAACCACAACACCAGCCAUGCUUCCACCAUAUUGAGGUAUCCCAAAGUUCCCAAUCGCACUAUCAUGGGUUCCUUUAAUCUUCUCCGGCGAUGUUACCGUCAAGCUGUUCUUUUCCACCACGAAUCUCGCGUAACAAUUGCUUAUCAAAGAUAAUAACAUAAACCCUUGAAGAAGAUGAUGAUGGAAUGUUCGUAGCUCCAUAUCUUUACUUUGGGUUUUUUGUUCUUGGAUUUGGAUUUGGAUUUGGAUUGGAUCAGUUUUAAGAACGAUACUGAUGAAGAAGAUGAAGGUCGUGUAUGAAAAACAUGUAAAAUUAAAUGGAUUUUUUAAAAAUAAAAAUAGUGAAAAUGGCCAUUAAAUAUUAAAUCAAAAGUCGAAAUCUUUCAUCUUUUAAACAAACAUUUUUAUGAUUCUUUUAUUUGUUUUAAAUGAUUUUAGAACACAGCUAGUGAAAUUUUGACACGCUACGAAUAAAAAAUCUUAGUCAUUCAUAGGUGUGGCUCGUUGUAAGAGUAAAUUGCACUAGAGGCUCCUAAACUAUGACUUAUUUUAAAUUGGUCGUUAAAAUUUAAAAUAUUCUAAUUACAUCCUCAAAUUUUCAAGAUUAUGUUAAUUAAGUCCUUAUGAUACUAAAACCAUUAAGUUCACUAUUAAGUAAAAUAUCAAAUCUUAUGUGACAUAAUUUAAAUUUUAAAAAGUAAAGCAUCAUUCUACUUAACAGUGAAUUUAACAAGUUUAGUAAUGGAAGGACUUAAUUGACAUAACCUUGAAAAUUUAGAGAUAUAAUUAAAAUAUUUUAAAGUUUAGAGACCCAUUAAAAAUGAGAGUCAUAGUUUGUGAAUCUCUGAUGCAAUUUACUCUCGUUGUAAUUAAGUGCUUGUGGGUUGGGUCUAGAGGUUUUUAUAUUCGAGUGGCCAGUCCAAGUUAGUUUAGUUUAAAAGACAAUCAAGAUUCUUUUCACUCGAUCCAUGACAAUAGAUGUUUUCAAUUAGCUCGAGUUUUUGAGAUAAUUUAUGUGAAUUAUUGUUGAUGUAGCCAACCUGUACUUGUGCCUCAUUUAAUAUGUGAGUUCAAACAUCAUCGAGUGUGAAAAUUUUAAUUCUUUUGACAUAAUGACUUAUUUGGCUCUCAAACUUUACAAAAUGACUUUAACCCUUCAAUUAGUUUUUCGUGUCUUUUAACUAUUGAACUUGCACUGUAUGUUAAAUCACCAAAAAAUAGAUAAAAACGUUUGUUAAUUUUGAAAAUGUGGCAUCCACGUGGGUACCACAUCAACAAUUAAUUAUUUUUCAAUUCAAAAAAUUAAAAAAAAAACCCACUAUUAAAAAUUUUAAAAAUAUAAAAGAUAUACUUUUUAAUUUUAAAAAAUAAUUAAUUAUUGAUAUGACAUACAUGUGGAUGUCACAUCAGCAAAGCUAAUAGACAUUAAUUUUUUAAUCUAUUUUGAAGUCAUUUGAUAAAUAACAUAAAUUCAAGGGUUAAAAAGAGACAAAAAAUUAAAUUGAAAGCUAAAAUAACCUUUUUUUUUGUAAAAUUGGAGGACUAAAUAAAUCAUUAUGUUAAUUCUUUUUAAUGGUUUAUCAAUAGGCAUCCGAGGAAGUGCUUCUGCUUGUUGAAACUAUUGCUUGUUCAAGCAUUCGAAUUUUCAAUAGAGUUGGAAGAAAAAAUCUUUGCUAAAAAUAAUAUUCGAACUUGCUGAGGUUUAACCUUAGGAUUAUAUUUAUAGAUUUUAUUAUAUUAUUUUUUGAUUUAUAUUUAUUUUAUAUAUAAUUAAAGGAUAAUAUAAAUUUGGUUCGCAAACCUAACAACUAAGUUCACUUUAGUUUCUGUAUUUUUUUAUUUGUCCAUUUUGACACUUAAACUUAACAAAUAGGUCUAUUUUGAUAUCUGAACUUGAAAAUUAUAAAAAUUGUAUGCAUUUUUAAAUGAUGACAUGGUACAAUAUUAGAAUGUCAUGUUUAAUGUUUUAAUAACCGAACAAAUGAUUGAACAAAUCAUACCACCGAUUCUCAGUUCAGUCACUUUGAUCUAAUUGACAACAGGACCAAGAAGAAUUAAAUAAACAAUUAAAAAAUUAUAAAAAUCUAAAAAAGUAUUUAAAAAAAUUUAUUAUACUGGUUCAAUAUGUUCAACUGUCGACUUUUAUCCCAAUUUUUGAUUUUUACCAAUUUCAAGCAAUUUAUGAGUCAAUCGAUUCAACUAUUUUGUUUGGACCAUUAUAUCGAUCAAUUAUCAAUCUGUCCAAUCCAAUUUUGUUCCAGUAAUAUUAAUUAUGUCAUCAAAUCUUGACAAAAUCUAAAUUUUAAGAUAAAAAUGAAUCUAAUUAUCAAAUUUAAAGAUUAAAAUCAAACAAAAAAAUAAAUAUAAAUAUUAAAGUGAACCUAAUUCCGAAGUUCAAGUACUAAAAUUUAUAUUAUGCCUAAACUUAUGCUUGAAAUUAUUAGAUAAUAGUGUCGGAUCCUAACGACUACAUCUAAAAGUUUUAUAUUAUAUUAUAUUAUAUUAUUUAAUUAUCAUUAAUGAAUGUGGUGGUGGGACUCAAAUAAAAUUAUUUAUUUAAAAGAAAUAUUUGUUUAGUCUAAAAAAUUUAUUAGUCUCAAAUUAAUCCUCAAACUUAAUAAUUAAAUUAAUUUUAAUAUUGAACUUUUCUAUUAGUCUUAAUUUCUAACAUUUUUUUUUAAAAUUUUAUCCUUAAACUUAUAUAACAUUGAGUUCUGUCACAUUAACUUUUCUCAAAUUUAUAUAAAUUUUUAAUUUUUAAAUAAUGAUUUGAAACAAUCACAAAAUACCAUAUCAUCACAAAUAUAAAGACUAAAUUAAAAAAAUGUCAACUUUUAAGGCAAAUAUAGACAAAAUAAAAAUGGACAUAAGAGUCCAAAAACUGAAAAAAAAAAGUAAUAAAAUUGGGUGGGCUUGAUUUAUAUUUAAGAAUAUUUUAAUGAAUAAUUAAUUAUAUAAAUAUAAAAAACAAUAAAUUUAAUUAAUUUGGAUUUUUUAGGUGAUACGAUCCGGUCUUAUCCAAAGCUAAAAACAAAAUAAAUAAAUAAUCUAACAACUGCUCAUAUAUUUAGAAUGAAGAUUUAAAAAAAAAAUGUUGGUCUAGUUGAUUGGUUUAUCAUCCAAAGAUUAAUUAUUUGGAUACAAAUACCGGCUAUAAUACAGAUACAUUUAAUUUUGUAUAUAAAAUAUCAUAUAUUUAUUAAUUUAAAAUUAAAAUUAAAUGCAAAAUUAACCCUCAAAUAAUUACCAUAUUUUUCUUUAGAAACCUAUUUUUAUUUUCAGCAUCUUAAAAAUAAUUCCCUCAUAUUGUACACUAAAAUAAGACGAAAUUGAAUAAUUUAUCUGCCUACUUUUUGACAAAAAAAAAAAAAAAAAAACACUUUGGGCACCUAAGAGGAACAAGUGGUAUAGCUUGAGACCAAUUUUGUAAUCAAGCAUUUACUCUAGAACAAUUAAGAAAUGGCAAACUACCUGGUAGGCCCCUCUAUUAUAAAAAUUGGAUCAAAUUAAUUUCUCUGAAUCAAUUUAAUCUCUAUACGAUUAAAAAGAAUCAAAUAAGGUGAAACUUCAACGAAGUUAACAUUUUUCUUUUAAAAAAGUCUUUGACAAAGUUAAUAUUUUGAAAAUUUAGUGGUUUUGCAAAUAAAAUCCUUUGUUUAGAGUUGAACUAGAAACAAAUAAAAAUUAGUUUUUCAUGUAAUUUUUCAAACACUUAAUGUUAACUUUAUUACAAUUUGACAUUAUUUGAUUCUUUUUAAUAAUUCAAGACAAAAUCAAUCUAUUUAAUAGUAAAAAUUUGAUUCAGUUCCUAUAACAGAGGGACUUAGCAUAUACUUUCAACAUUAAGAAAUUCUAUAGAACAAAAAGGGAACAUUUUUAACAUACCAAAAGGCAAUAAACAAAAUUUGCCACUUUUAAGCAUACAAGAAUUGGUUCAUUACACCCUCCAAAAACCAGUCCUUGAACUAAUAAUGUCACUAAACAAACGCAAUAGAACAAACAACAAUAAUUAAGAAAAGAUAAAUUAUUAACAUUAAAUUAAUAGGUGCAAGAUUAGUCAACCUCCAUACCAGAAAUGGCUUCCUCUAGAAUCUUUUGAAGUUCCUUCACUCUUUGCCGUGUUAAUGCAAUGCAGUCCUGCAUCCAUGGAAAAGUUAUUUUCAUAUCAAGCUUUUGGUCCAUUAGUUCAGUAUAAGUUUAAGGGUUAAUAUAAUUUUUAGCUCCCGAACUUUGCAAUUAGUUUGGCCCAUGUUAGUUUUGGAAAUUGGCAACUUUUUCCAUUUUGGUCAUUGCAAGUUGAUUUUCAUAAAGUGUGAUAACGAGACACUUGGAGAUUGUUUGAAGAACUGGCACAAUCUUAGAGUGUUAUGCUCACACCUUAACGUAACCCAAUUUAGGGACCAAAUUGGAAAAAGCUGCCAAGUUCCAAGUUAAUGUGGAUAAAAAAAAGUUUAGAUACUAAUGUGGACUUAAUUGCAAAGUUUAGGGGUAAAAAAUUACAUUAACCAUAAUUUUAACAAUAUAAUUUCAAGGGUUAAUGUAAUUUUUAGUUCCAGAACUUGCAACUAAGUUGACUUUGCUAUUUGAACUUUUUUUGUCCACGUUAGUCCUAGAACUUGCAACUUUUACCAAUUUGGUCCUUCAACUUGAAUUUCGUUAAAAGUGUGAUGACAUGACGCUCUGAGAUUGUGCCACAUAAUCACCUAAAAUAUAUAUAAUUGGGAAAAGCUGACAUGGUACAAUAUUAGAGUGUCAAGUCAUCACACCUUAAUGGAAUCAAAGUUCAAUGACUAAAUUAAGAAAAGUCACCGAGUUUUGAGACUAAUAAAAAAAAGUUAAGAGUACCAAGUUCGACCUAGUUGUCAAGUUUAAGUGACAAAAAUUACAUUAACCCUAAUUUUACAACAAUUUGUAUGGCAAACACAUCAUAAAAAAAAAAGACUUCAAAGCACCAAAAAGUUUGAACUUUCAACAUGACAACCCAUAUUUCUAUAAACUAUUUCCCUUUGGACAAGAAAAUGACCUUCAGGCCUAAUCUUGGAGUCAAGGUGGCUUCUAAAGUUAACGGUGAAAAAUACACCAUGAUAAGAGCACUAAAAUGUAAAGCAUCAUAAGAAAAAUAAAAUAAAGUUUGAACUCUGAACAUGACAACCUAUAUUUCUAUAAACUAUUUAACUUUGGACAAGAAAAUGACCUUCAGGCCUAAUCUUGGAGGCAAGGUGGCUUCAACAGUUAACGGUGAAAAAUACACCAUGAUAAGAGCACUAAAAUGUAUUAUGCUGCUAAAGCUUCAUUAAACCUAAAAAGGGACAUCAAGAUUCAACUGACCUGGAUAGCUGAUGUAUAUGCUAGGACUGUUCCACCUGGUUUAUGAAGCGAGACGAGUUGACUAGAUGAAUCUAAAACCACGGUUACAAUCGUGUCCAUAAUAGAUUCUUCCUCGGCAGUAGGAUCUGCCAAAAUGUAGUUCUUGUGAAGUACACAUGUCAAUGAAAACGGAAUGCUGCUCAGAUUAAUUUUUCUCUUCUCCUUAUUGACUGGUUCCCUGUCAGAUAGUCCUUGUUCCUCUGAUAAAACGAUCUUUCCAUCAUCGUUGAGAGAUACCACCGGGACCGGGAUUUCCACUGGAAUUUUUUUUUCGUAAAAUAAAAACAGUUAGAUUAGACACUCCAAAACAAAAUCUAUUAAAUCAAUAGUGUAGCUGCAGAGGGAAUAUCAAGACCAGAUAAUAUAAAGAGGCUUUGCAUGGGACAGCAAGCUAGGCAAAAUUAAAAGGUAAAUAGAUUACAGCCAUAACAUAUGGUUGACCUUGCCUUGUAUCUUAUAUCAUGAAAGUAUAAAUUGCGAUAUUUUGCAACAGGGUUUACCAUUGAAGGAUGCCCUAUAACCAAUAAGCUUGGUCAAGAUUUAUACUACCAAUGAUGCAUACUAAUCACUCAUCUAAUAUGAGAUUUAGUAAUUUUUUGGUUUACCCAAGGAAAAGCUUUAAUCAUGGAUUAGAUGAAACCAGGUUCCUAGAGCAAAUUCUGAUCAUUGUAUUGCCAAGAUAGAGCAGUGAUAAUUUUUGCUGGUACAUGAAAAUGCGUUUCCUAUGUUAAAAUUAAAGGAAGUAAUUCAUGCAAAAACCCCAAGAUCGCCAGACACACUUAAAAGAAGCAUGAAAAUCAGAAUGUCAGCCCUGAAAUAAAAUCAAUUUGCAUGUUAAUGCAUCAAGUGGAUAUAGCUUUUAGUGGUUUAUCAUAAAUUUCUUAAAGAUAACAGAAGGAAAAGGAGCAUUAUGUUCCAAGUGUCUUUUGUCAACCUAUUAUGACUUACUCUUGAUAAAUAAAUGAAAUGCUACUUUUAAUUUAAUUUACACCAGAGGAAUUCCUCAGGCGGUCAUACAUUUUUCUCUUUAAAAGAACAAAGCAAUUUUACCAUCGCAAAUUUUCUUUUCCCUAUCAUUGUCAAUCUUCUUUCUCAUGGAAGAGGUUGGUUGUUUUUGGCAAGUAUUAUCAUAUUUAGUGGCAUGGUGAAUUGAUGUUAUAAUAUUUGAUGAAAAUGAGAGAAACACUUACAAUAAGAAAAGGCAGCAACAACUGAGAGUAAUGCAGUGUCAAAAAGAGCACCAUCAACAUCCAAACAGUAUAUGUCCUGAAAAAACAGAAUACUAUGUUACUUCCAUAUUCAAGGAGAACAAAGGCACUAUGUUAUUACUUGAAUUUCCAUAUCAACUUGCAUGAACACUAGAUGGCUUAUGUUCGAACUCUUACACAACUUGAAAGUCCUAAGACGGAUAAUAAAGACAUUUUAAAACCACAAUCACGUACCAAAUAUGCCAUCCAAGCAACUUUUCCACUAACCAAGGACAGUUCCUUCAAAUUGAUCAUGCCAGAGCUGUAAUUACACAUGACAAGUUGUUUGAGAACCUAACAGAAAGAAAAGGAUUCAAAGUGGAACAGUUUUGAAACAAAACAUUUAUAAGUGUAAAGAGAUUCAAAAGAAACGAAACCACCAACAAAUUUAGAUAAAAUAACUGAGCAGUGUGCUUCAGCAAGCAGUAAGAAGCAAGAGGGAGAACUCAAAGUUUCAAUAUCAAGGCUAAAAUACCCAGUUAACCACAUCAAUAAUCAUAAGUAAAUACAGAGGCGAAGAGGAAGAUAAUGAUUGAAUCCACACAAAGAUGAGAUAACAAAUUGAAGACUUUGCAUUCUAAAGAUUACAGCACAGAUAAACAUCACACGUCACAACUACAAGUAAAUUAACAGGCUUAAUAGGGUGCAUCUCAGCAUCAAUAAACAAUCAAGGAACUAAAUUGGCAUGCCUUAAAAUAGUGUCUGACAAUUGCUUUGCAACGACUGGUGCUGCCUCAUCUGGUCUGCCAGGCCUAACAAUUGGAGAACAAAUUGGAGGCAUGUGGAAAUAAAUCGCUGAAAAUGAAAAAGAAAUUAUGAUAAAGUACGAGAAAUAAGAGAUACGUUUUAAGAAGAGAAAGAGAAACAAGAAAGCAUGCGGCUAACGGCAGCUAACGGCAGCAAACCUAUACAACCCUCAUCCGGUGUUUCCAAUGAAGGGGUCAUGACCUCCAUUUUGAUAGCAGCCAACAUAGUCUAUGCCAUGCAAGGAAUUAAUUAUUAAACUCCAAGCUUAAUUGCUUGCCAAAGCAAAGUAGAAAAUGUAUUAAGAGAAAGUGACAAAACUUACAGUUGAACCAAUUUUUGCAAGUGCUGAACCAUUAGCAGAUGCAACAGCCCCUGGAUAUUAAAGGAAUCAGAUCCAAGUAUGAAGAAAUAUUAUGUCACAUAAAAGCUUCAUAGUUAUAUCUUUUUUCUUUUACUAACCAAGGGCAAUGGUGGUUUCUCUUGCUCUUCCAAGCGGACGAGCAUCAGGACGUAUAGACUCUAAAAGAUGUUUCUCGUAUAAACGAAGGGGAAAGAGGCGUCUGAAAGCAUCUACCUCAACUUCAGUUGACAAGUCACCGCUCGCAUUUGGUAAUCCCAUCGUCAAUCUAUUUUCUUUUGAUCGAAAAAGGGGGGAAAAAACACAUUUAUACCCAUCCAUUAUCAGAAAUUAUAUUUCAUUCAUUUUAAAAUGUUGUUUUCAAGGUAAUAUCAUGGAAGCCUUUACUAGAAGUCAGAUUGCUUUUUGUCUCUUCUACUCAAAAAACGAGCAAAUUAGUCAUUGUACUUUAAAUCAAAGAGCAAAUUGUUCCUUGUGUUAAAAUUUUCAUUCAUUUCUACUAUUAAAAAAUAGUUUCUAUACAUCAAAAUAAGGUACAUGUAACGUGUCAAAUAUAAUUGUUUGGUUAUUCUGUAAACCACUUUAGAUGAACAAUUAUGACAAAAAGACCUAGUUUGCUCUUUGAUUUAAUGUACAGGGGCAAAAGGGUUUCCAUGCCGCUUUUUCCAUUAAAUAUGUGUUUUAGUUGUACAAACAACAUCAUUAUUUUAUAAAUUUUAGCAGAACUUUCUACAUUAACAAUUCUAAUUCAUCAAUAAAUCAGCAUAAUCGGAAAAUUUUCAAUGUUCAGAAUCAAUAUUUGAAACAUAAACUCAUGCAAUGAUAGUGAAAACAAUAAACAAAUUAGAAACGAGAAAUAACCCACCAUACAAAGAAAGUGAAAAAUGAUGAAAACACCCAAUAAAAAGCCAAAGAAAAUAGGACUUUAAAUUGGUGAAGAGGAGCUAAUAAACAAUCUCAAUCAUGGGACAAAAAGGGUCGUUUUCUUUGUGUUUAUUGUCAAACUAAUUCUCAAAAAAAAAAAAAAAACGAUGAAUAAAACACUCUAAAACUUGAAAUGAAACAAUAAAAAAAAAUAUAAAAGUAAUAUAAAAUUAUUAUAUAUGAGAAUAAAAGAAAGCCGUUUCUGGUGUACCUUAGCAAAUCGAUUUAGACCCUCUUUCUAGGCUCGGGCUUGGCCCAAAAUAUGGGCUUGAAAAUUUGUCUAUGUCCGGCCCGGGAAAAAAUUCCUAGGCCCGGCCCCGGCCCGUCCUUUUUUUUAGUAAACACCAAAAUUGUUAUAGCACCUAUGUAAAUAUUGAAUUAAUGGAGUGGAAAUUAGUUCAGUAAGAUAGAUUAGAAUAUGAUUAACUACUUUAACGAAUUUGACAUGAUUUAAAAUUUAAAACUUAAUUCAAGUAAUCCUUUGCGUUUAAAGGAUUGAGAUUAAACAAUUUAAAACUUUAAAAUUCCUAAUAAACCUAAACUUAAAAAUUGAGUUUAAACAAUUUAAAACAAUUGAGUUUAAACAAUUUAAAACUUAAAAAUUCCUAAUAAAUUAGAGUGUGAAAACGCAAACAAAAAAGGAAAAAGAAUUGAAUGGAACAAAAACAUUUAUUAGAUUUCAAAUUUAUAUAUAAACGUAGAAAACAUAAUAUUGUAUAUAUAAACCUAAACUAGAAAACGUCCUUUGCGUUUAAACAAUUGAGAUAGUCAUACUUAUUCUAUAAGCUAAAUUACAUAUGUACCAAAAAAGAAAUUAAUAAAAUUCAAACUGAAUAAAUCCAAUCAAAAUUCAUAAAUAGAAGCAUCUCCAUUUCUCAAUCCCAUUAUUUUCCUACUAGUAGAUAAACAAUUUUAGCAUAACAUUACCAUAAUUUAAUCAAAAUUUAAGUUUUUCUUUCCCCCUAAUAUUUUGGAAGUUCACUUCUUUUCCAGAGGAAUCAACAAUCAUAACAAUAUUUUGAGAUGAGGACACAAAUUAUCAUCUAGAAAAUCUGCUAAUCCUGCAUUUAAUUGCAAAAUGUUGUACAAAGUUAAAUAAAAGAAAAUCAAAUUAAAUUAAAUUAAAUUCUAAAAAGAAAAUGUAAACGAAAGCUUACGGGAAAGGAAGCUAAGGUAAGCCAAAUCGAUUUCAAUGUCGCUUGUUUUUGCAAUAAAACAAAGCAAAAACAAAAAAGAUGAGAUUAAAUGAAUAAACUAAGCUUGUGAUCUCAGCCCUGCAAAUUACAUGCUCUAUAAAACAUAAAUCAAUUCUCAUCCAAUAAUAAUUGAAUAACACAAUUUUACUCUUAAUUGUGCUCAGCUAAGCUGUAUUGAAAUACAAAACUCACCUCAAGGCAAUUUUACGGUAAAUAUAUAUAUACAUAUAUAUAUAUAUAAAAGUUGCUUUCUAAAAAUGAAAAAACAAGUUUCCAGAUGUCAGGAACCAUAUGCUAAAAAAAAUAAUACUUCACUUGUUGAAUAAAACUCUUAAUAAUCAGUCUCUCCCAAGCCAGGAUGUUUCUCAUCAAAGAAGAGAUUUUCAUUUUCAAUGCUGAAAAGAGGCGAAAGAUUCGUCUGGAAAAUGGGUUUGACUAAGCAGGCAAAGAGGAGGAGGGGCCCUUACAGCAUUCAUACAAUGACAAAUGUGCAGAUUACAAGGCUAACACAAGAUUAGUAAAGCAUGGCCAGUACAUCUCUUGUCAAGAAUCUUAGAAGUGAAUCACACUUAACAGGAGUCUCACCCGUGAUACUUGUCGGUAAAUGGGACAAGUCUCGAGGACAUCCGUGAAAGAUGUAAACCAAUGCUAAUUCAAAAGGUUGAACAUACAAUCCAGAUUCCAAAUUCCAAAAUUCCUGAUUUAAUUCUCCCCGGGAAGAUUCAGUGUCUUAAAAUCAAAAUCAGAAAACCACCAUAUUGGUCAGAUUAAUAUAACAGAGAUCAAUCAGUUCAUCAAUCCAAAAAUAAAAAAGCAAAAAGAAAAAAACAUAAAAAAAUAAUUUAACAAAUUAACAUGCGGAAAAGGUGAAGAACUGAAGAUUUACAAAUACAGAGGAGAAAUAAUUCGAGAACUGAAAAUUCAAAGGUAGAAGCACCGUAAAAGAGAGGAAAAAAAAUCUAACUAAAUGUCUAGGGUUAACACUGUUAACAGCAGCAAACUCCCUUUUAAAAGUUAACAUACCUUUGAAAUUCAAAGGUAGAAGACGUAGAAGCACUGCUCUAACCUCUGAUUCUGGAAUUGGGUAGAGCCGUGGAGGAUCGGAGUUGGAUCGGUGGAGGUGGAUUGGUGGAGGUGAAGGGUGAUUUUAAAAUUGGGAAAAAAAGGGAGGAUGGCACGGGCUUAGGAUUUUGAUCAGUGGAAGAGGAGAAAUGGGGAAAUUGCAGUGAUACGAGUCACAAAGGCCCAACUCAAGCUCAAGAACGUGAUGGGCUCAAAUUACCACAAUGUCCAAUAACGAGGUCAAAGGCUAGGAAAAUGCGUACGAAACUAAAUGGAUCCGUUCAAGACUUCAUUAGCAAGGCCUUAGAUGUUUAUACAGAGGAAAAAGAAAAUCAAGAUUCACUUUCUUGUUUUCAAGAAAAUCAAGAAACCAAAUCUUGGUCCAAUUUUGCUGUUUUGAGCGAUUGCAAGAAUCAAGAAAAUCAAGAUUUCAAAUCUUGAAAAUCUUGGUCCAAGAAACUGAAUCUUGCAGCUAAGACGCUUUGGAUCUCAGUUAUGAGCAUCAACGAAUCAAUUUCGGGAGAGAACAGAUUACAAGCCCAAGUUCUUGAAGAUACGACCCACUAAGAUAUUCCAAGCGCAACCAAGAAGUUUAAAUUAGACUUAGUUGAAAAUCAGACCAAAUUGUCAAAGUGGCCCAAUUUAAUUCUUUAAAUAUUUAGUUUUAAUUUUUAGACUUUAUGAAUAAAUUUCUAUGUAAAAAUUCAGUCCAAGAGGCUCAUUUAAAGGCCUUGGACGAAAUUCCCCUUUGAAAGUCAAAAUUAGGGUUUUUUUUAGUUUUCCUAGUAGGGCUAGGAAAGUACUUAGGAGGUCUAUAUAUAUGGCUUGGCCGGCCACCCUUAAUCACAUUACAUUGAAUUUUAGAUUUUUGUUGAGUGAAAAUUCUCUUUGAGUUUCUCCAAGAAUUUUCUCUUGGGUUUUCUUUAAAAGUAGUUUUAACAAUCUUUUUGAUUGUGGGAGCCAUCUUCAACCUUCUUAGGAGUUGUGAAAUCUUUCUUGAUUUCAAGGCUUCUUAGGACUUUUCUUUAUUUUUCUUGCUGUUUGUUCUUCUUUAAUUAUUCUUGUUUCUGCCGAAUUGUUGAUUACUUGAUUUAAUUGCUUUUGUUGCGUUUCAGCCACUCCAAGCUUCAAGAUCCUGUUUGGCAACAUUCUUUGGCAUCAAGAAACGUCCUUUAUUCAUAAAUUUCAAUCUUUCUUGCCGCCCAAGUUUCCUACUUCCACUUCAAUUUGGUUUUCUUGGUCUUUUGAAUAUAAUUUUCUGUUUUUUUUUUGUUUCACCCCAAGUGUCUAUAGCUUUGGUAAGACUUUCCCGUGACUUGACAAGCUCGAUUUGGUCCUCGCGCAAUCCUCUAUCAUGCAGUGUAUUUUAAAAAUAAAAAAUAUAUAUUUAUUAUAUAUUUAUUAUAAAGAAUUACAGCGCAGAUAAAUAUCACACAUCACAACCACAAGUAAAUUAACAGGCUUAAUAGGGUGCAUCUCACCAUCAAUAACGAAUUAAAGAACAAAAUUAAAAUCGUGUCUGAUAAUUGCUUUGCAGCGACUGGUGCUGCCUCAGCCGGUCUGCCACGCCUAACAAUUGGAAGCAUGUGGAAAUCAAUCGCUGAAAAUGAAAAAGAAAUUACGAUAAAAUAUGAGAGAUAAGAGAUACGUUUUAAGAAGAGAAAGAGAAACAGGAAAGCAUGUAGCUAAUGUCAGCAAACCUAUACUAUACAACCCUCAUUCGGAGUUUCCAAUGAAGGGGUCAUGACCUAAAGAAGCCAACAUGGUCUAUGCCAUGCAAGGAAUUAACUAUUAAACUCCAAGCUUAAUUGUUUGCCAAAGCAAAGCAGUAUAUGUAUUAAGAGAAAGUGAUAAACUUACAGUUGAACCUACUUUUGAAAGUGUUGAACCAUUAGCAGAUGCAACAACCCCUGGAUAUUAAAAGAAUCAGAUCCAAGUACAAAGAAAUAUUAUGUCACAUGAAAGUUUCAUAGUUAUUUCCCUUUUCUUUUACUAACCAAGGGCAAUGGUGGCUUCUCUUGCUCUUCCAAGCGGAGGAGCAUCAGGACGUAUAGACUCUAAAAGAUGUUUCUCGUAGAAGUGAAGGGGAAAGAGGCGUCUGAAAGCAUCUACCUCAACUUCAGUUGACAAGUCACCGCUUGCAUUUGGUAAUCCCAUCGUCAACCUAUUUUCUUGUGAUCGAAAAAUGGGAAAAAAACACAUUUAUACCCAUCCAUUUUCAAAAAUUAUAUUUCAUUCAUUUUAAAAUGUUGUUUUCAAGGUAAUAGUACCAUGGAAGCCCUUGUACUAGAAGUUUGAUUGCUUUUUGCCUUUUCUACUAAAAAAAUAAGCAAAUUAGUCAUUGUAAUUUAAAUCAAAUAGCAAAUUGGUCCUUGUGUUAAAAUUUUCAUUCAUUUCUACUAUUAAAAAAUAGUCCCUAUACGUCAGAAAAAGGUACAUGUCACGCGUCAAAUAUAAUUGUCUGGUUAUUCCGUCAGCCACUUUAGAUGAAAAUUUUUUAUUGAAAGGCCUAGUUUACUCUUUGAUUUAAUGUACAGGGGCAAAAGGGUUUCCAUGCCGUUUUUUCCAUUAAAUAUGUGUUUUAGUUGUACAAGCAGCAUCAAUAUUUUAUAAUUUUAGCAGAACUUUCUACAUAAACAAUUCUAAUUCAUCAAUAAAUUAGCAUAAUCGAAAAACUACUAAUGCUCAGUAUUAAUAUUUGAAACAUAAACUCAUGCAACGUGUCGAAACCAUUUUUAUUUUUUGGAAAAAAAACAAAUUAGUUGUCGAUAAAAAUUUAGAGUCGCCACCAAUCUUUUAUUGAGGUGUGAUUGGAUCACCUAAAAUGACUUUGGUCUACGAGUUUUAGAAAAACAGGUUCGGGAGUCAGUUACGUACAAGGAAGGAUUAGCACCUUCGUAACGCCCAAAAUUUGGUACCAAGUUGAUUAAUUAGUGUCUUAAUGUCGAGAGUUAAUAAAUACGAUCCUUAGUUAAAUUAAAUUAUUUAUUAGGACUUUCUCAUUUUGUAAAAAGAAAAUAUCACACCCAAUACGUUAGGGCACAAUAUUUUAUUCUUUUCAAGAUGAGUUGGUCAAAAAAACUCGUGUAAUAAAAUUUAAGAAAAUAUUUAAUUGCUUAAAAUUUAGGAAGAAAUCACAGCCCAAUACGUUAGGGCACGAUUUCUUAAAAUCCCAAACAUUAAAUAUUUCCUUUAUUUUUUUUAAAAUAUUUAUCUCGAGAAAUUAACGCGUCACAUCCAAUACGUUAGGACACAACAUAUUGAAUUCCCGAUGACAAGUUUUAUUUUGUUUGAUUAAAGAGCAAUCCUCAAUUGUUAGAUUUUACAAAGAAAAUUGGAACCGAAUACGUUAGGGCUCAAUUUUCUUGAAAAUCCUAAAUACGAGUAUUAUCUUUAUUUUGAAAAUUUUCUAUUUUUAAAAUUUGAGUAAAAGAUGAUGUAAUGUUAUAUUGAAUGCAUGAAUAAAUGCAUCUUUAACAAAUAUCAAUAAUAAAUACAACAAUUGUAUAGAAAUAAUAUAAAUAAAUAAAUCAAUAAAAAUAAAUCAAUAACAUUCAAAGCAUCAAAUAAACAAGCAAUAAAAAUAAUAUAAAUGAAAACAUAAAUUAAUAAACAAAUGAAAGAAAUAAACAAAAAAUAUAAAGAAUAAAAGGUACAUAAUAUAUACAUUGAACUUAUGAAGAAUAAGAAGAUGUGCACAAGGAUUUACACACAAAAUCUAGAAUUAUAAAAUUUAUAUAACUAAAUAUAAUGUAUUUAUGAAAAUAAAAAAAUACAUAAGUAUAUAUAUAUAAAAUAAAAUAUGUAUUUGAAAAUAUAAAUAUGUAUUUAAGUAUUUUCAAAAAUAUAAAAAAUAUGUACGUAUGUAUGUAUAAAUAUAAUAGAAUAUUCAAAAAAAAUAAAUAUGUAUACAUGUAAAAUACAUUAAAGAUAAUUAAAUAAUAUCUACAUUAUCAAAAUUAAUUAAAUAAAAAAAUAAAUAUAUGUGUAUAUAUAAAUAUGAGAAAAAUAUUAGUUGAAAAAAAAUAAAUAUGUACAUAUAAGAAAAAUAUAUUUGUGUGUGAAUUAUAAAAAAUAAAAAAAUAAAAAUAAAUAUACCUAUUUUAAUAUGUAAUAUAUAUAUAAGUAUGUAUAUAAAGUUAUGAAACAUAGAAAAUAUAUAAAAGUAUGUGUAUAUAUAUAUUAAAAAAAUAUAAGGCAAAAUAAAAUGUAAACAAAUUUGAAAAUAAUGAAUUUGAAAAUGAAUAAUAAGGGAAAAAUUUGAAAUCAACAAUACAAAUCAAUAAAUAAAUUAUACACAAAUCAACAAAAUAAGAACAAACCACAGAAAAUAAGAACGCAAAAGAGAAAAUUUUGAGUGAAUACUUUAAGAAUUAUUAUUACUCCUCACUUCCGUCCCUUACAAUGAAGGGAGAGACCUCUAUUUAUAGUUGAGCCUCCCUAAAUCCAACGGUACAGAUCAAUUACAUCAACGGCUAAGAUUAAAGGGUAUCUACAAAUUAAAUCUCUAAGAUUAAAAAAAUCAUAUAUUCUAAGAUUGCAUAUCAUAUCUAAUAUUGCAUAUAUCAUAUCUAAGAUUGCAUAUCCUUAAAGAUUAUGUUUCCAUAAACUUGUAGAUGGACCUUCAACUUUUUCAAGUAAUGGGCCAUUCCGAUCGGGUUAAAUGAUAUUACUGGACUUAAAAUUUGUUUUAUUAUUUUGGGUUUAUUAUUUUUUUCGUGAGCUCGAGCUAAAAUUGGGUAUUACACAACGAUAAUAAAAAAAAUAAACAAAUCAGAAACGAGAAAUAACCCACCAUACAAAGAAAGGGAAAAAUGAUGAAAACACCCAAUAAGAAGCCAAAGAAAAAUGGGACUUAAAAUUGGUGAACAGGAGCAAAUAAACAAUCUCAAUCAAGGGACAAAAAAGGGUCGUUUUCUUUGUGUUUAUUGUCAAACUGAUUCUAAAAAAAAAAACGAUGAAUAAAACACUCUAAAACUUGAAAUGAAACAAGGAAAAAAUAUAAAAUUAUUAUAUAUGAGAAUAAAAGAAACCUGUUUCCGGUGUAUCUUAGAAAAUCGAUGGAAGGCAACGACGGCGAAACAAUUAACAGAGAAGAAUGGAAGUGACGAAAAGAAAAUAGCAAGGGCUCGGCAUUCACUAAGAAGCAUUUUUCAUUCUCAAUUUCAUUUUCUUUAAAAAGUGUAAUGGGGGCAAAUCCGGUCAUCUCAAGCAAACUAAAUGGGUUAAUGUCUUUGUUAGCUCCCAAAUUUUCACCUACAGUGUAAUUUAGUACCUGUAAAAAAAUAUAAUUUAAUCAUCAGUAUCAUACCCUGCUGGUCUUCUACCUGUACCAAGACGUUUAAGUUUCGUUCCGGUCAAUAUUUUAAUAUGUUUGUUUUGCAUGUUUCAAUGUGCUUUGGCUCAUUCUAGCCGAUACCGACCCAUAUCAGUUGACACAAAAUUUUGAUACUUUAAAUUUAUCUUUUAAUUUUUUAUCUUAAACAUUUUAACUUUUUAUAAUUACGUUUAAAAUUAAAAUAAACUGAAACUAUUGAACCAAUUAAUAGAUUUAAAACUUAUUUUUACAUAUAAAUAGAUGUAAUUGAGAUAUAUUUGUUUGUAUAUAUAACAUAUAAUACUCGAAGCCUUGGCGCUGUGCACUCAUAACAAAAAGUAAUUAAGAAAUUCUUCGGUGCAUUUAGAAUAUAAAAUCCUUCAAAAAUAAGAAAAACAAUUAAAUAAUAUAGCAUAAAGAAUCCAACAAAAACAAUAAACAAGGAACAUCACAUGAUUCUUGGGUCACGGCAAUAAUAUUUUUGUUUUUUUUAUAUUACUUUAACAAAUAUAAAACUAAAAAUACAACAUCAACCAAAUUAUAUAUAUAUUUUUUCAUUCAGGCUAAAUGUAAUUGAAGGCCUUUUAUUAUAAUUUCGUUUAUAGGCGAUUAUCAUCAGUUCUUCAUGGCGCAUCUCUCUGUGCAAGUAUUGACGCAAGCUGCAACUUCCCUUGCAGCUGACAAAAACAAGACAAAUCGUUAAGUUAAUAUACAUACUUACAUACCAUCAAAUAAAUAUAUAAAACGAAAAAAGAAAAAUUACCAGGCAACCUCCCUUGGCUGCUUAGCAUCGAACAUGUCAGGGCAGCACACCCAACAAUGCAGAAUACGGAACUGCUCGUGAGGUGGGUUUCCUCCAGAGUCUCCACAAGCGCUUCUGACGGCAGGCAACGUUGAAUACAAUCCCCAAGGGAAGUUCCGUUGGGGACGCAAGUAGUUACACAAAAUGCAUACCCAAAUUCAAUCGGGGCGAGUGCUGUAACAGCUUGAAGGGAGAGACUAACAAGGAUCAACAACAGCAAACAGAAAAUCAACGCUCAUUAUUUCCCCCCAUUAUGUAUAUAUUUAAUUUGAUUUCAUGAUGAUUAUUUUGCACUGCUUUAUAUAGGUCUUAUAUAGAUUUUGAUUGUCAUGCCAAACAGCCAAACUGCCAAACUACCAAACUGCCUUAUUGAAUGUAAAAUUAAGACGUCAAACCAUAAUGCCAAAAUUUGAUUGAAUGCAAAAUUAAGAGAAAAUUUCUAUACCUAAUCAAAGUAAUAUGAAAUGGAUUUGUCAAGCCAAACUACAUGGAAAAUGCUUGAAUGUCUUGUCUUUUUUUUAGAAUUCUUCCUAACAAUCUAAAUUCUUCCUAACCAUUCAAAAUAUUCUGAUUGUCAAUCUUCUUUCUCAGAUGUCAUGAAUCACAAAUGAACACUAAACCUUUAACUUCAUAUUUUAAACAUUAACAUCGAAGUAAACACUUAAUCCGUGCAAAUAAAAUCUUGAUUCUCACCUUCACAGUGACUGUAUCCAUCUCCUUUGAAUUGCUCGCCAUCAACCAAGAGACAUUCACAAACUCUUCCUCGAAAUGUAUCUUAAGAAGCAAAUCAAUAUAUUCAAAUAAGCUCAUGGAGUAGAGAAUCCCUAUCAAAUCUGUUUCGAUUCAUACCCUGCAGGCUGUGAGAUUUGCUGCUUUUUCUUGCCAACAACCACCAUCAUUUUCCAAGCAUUCAUUCGUCUCCACAUCUGUGAAAAAAGUAACCGUCAUCACUGGUGUUUCAAAUAACAACUGGACAGUAAGUUGAAACACUACACUGGAUUUCUAAAAGCCUAGCUCUCGCCUAUGUUACUUAGUGUGAGAGUUGGAUAAGGCAUAUGUCUGACAUGGAUACGUGCAAGUUGUUCUUCAUUUUUCCUGUAUUCAGAGUGUUUUUGGAGGGUCACAUCCCCAUACUCGUAGAUGAAAACGUGUCAGACACGGGUUCUUAGAAAACUGGUACUUCAAGCAAAACUGAGACUCAGAGAAACUUAGCUCUAAACCACUUUAUCCAUACUGGAGAAAACUAUACGCCAUUACUACGAAAUUCUUAGAUAACCAGCAUUUUGAAAUUCAUUUUUAUUAUCAUACAUCUGCCUUGAGAACCAACCCAACCCAAAGCAUAUAUGUUCACUUGGACUCUGGGUGUGAGUUUCAAAUACAGGUAUGUGUUUGACACGGAUAUAUUCAAAUUUUUGUUCAUGUACCUAGAAGGAUCUUUGAAAAAUCAGAUCACCGUACACAUGUUCGGAUAUUGAGUCUAAAACUGGUACUUAAAGCAAAACCAAGAAUCUGAGAAACUUAGCUCUACUUUUGUAGACACCUCUAAGGCUACAUCCCUAUGAAAGGAGGGAAAUGAAGCUAAAUGAAUGGACCUAAUUUCAGAAAACAACUAGUAAGAUAAAAAGAGAGAAAGACAUCCGUCCAAACAACUUAAAGCAAAGCUGAAAACAAGUAAAUUAAUUCAUAAAUGAACGGAUAAAUAUAUAAAUAAUGAUAAUGAAAUCAAUGGAAACUGAUAAACCUAAAUUUAUUUAAAUGAAUUAGUUAAAAUAUAAUAACAUAAAUCCAAGUAGAUGGAAAAACCAAAUCUAUUAACCCUCAAAUCCCAAACUAUCAAAUAGAUUAUUGCCCCAUAAAUAAACCAAAUCCAACAAAUUGAACUUUAAACCUACUAUUUAAAUUCCCCAAUUUGGAAUUACUCAAAUUAGCUAAAACAACACAAAAAUUCCUCAUUGAUCAACCCUACAACAAACAAAUUAUAGCUCAAAUAAACAAAACCAUAGAUUAAUUUUUCUUAGAAGGCGAAAAUUUUGAAAAAAAGAAGAAGAAAAGUGUACCUCCACGAUCGACCAGAACAUAGGUAGGAAGAGAACCAGGCUUGGAUAUAACCGAAAUCCCAAAGUCAUCAAAACCUUUACAAGCUUUUCGGUUUUCUUCAGGGUAAACCACAACACCAGCCAUGCUUCCACCACAUUGAGGUAUCCCAAAGUUCCCAAUCGCACUAUCAUGGGUUGCUUUAAUCUUCUCCGGCGAUGUUACCGCCAAGCUCUUCUUUUCCACCACGAAUCUCGCGUAACAAUUGCGUAUCAAAGAUAAUAAAAUAAACACUUGAGGAAGAUGAUGAUGAUGGAAUGUUCGUAGCUCCAUAUCUUUACUUUUGGUUUUGGAUUUGGAUUGGAUCAGUUUUAAGGACGAUACUGAUGAAGAAGAUGAAGAUCGUGUAUGAAAAACAUGUAAAAUGAAAUGGUUUUUUUGAAAAAAAUAAAAACAGUGAAAAUCGCCAUUAAAUAAUUCUAUGAUUCUUUUAUUUGUUUUAAAUGAAUUUAGAACACAGUUAGUGAAAUUUUGACACGCUACUAAUAAAUAAUCUUAGUCAUUUAUAGAUUAAACAUUUUUCUUUUUUUUAAACAGUGCAAUGAGACCAAAUCCAGUCAUCUGAAGUAAACUUAAUGGGUUUAUGUUUUUCUUAGCCCCUAAAUUUUCACCUACCGUUUAAUUUAGUACAUGUUAAAAAAAAUCCAAUUUAGUCAUUUGUAUUAUACGUGACGGUCUUCUACAUAUACGAAGUCGUUUAAGUUUCGUUCCGGUGAAGAUUUCAAUAUGCUUAGCAUGUUCCAAAGUCCUUUGGCCCAUUCUAGCCAGUAUCGGCCCGUAUCAAUUGGUACAAAAUUUUGAUAUUUAAACUUAUCUUUUAAUUUUUUAUCUUAAACAUUUUAACUUUUUAUAACUACGUUUAAAAUUAAAAUAAACUGAAGCUAUUGAACCAAUUAAUAGAUUUAAAACUUAUUUUUACAUAUAGAUAGAUGUAAUUGAAAUAUAUCAAGAAAUUUUUCGAUGCAUUUAGCACAUAAAAUCCUCCAAAAAAUAAGGAAAACAGUUAAAUAAUAUAACAUGAAGGAUUCAACAAAAACAACCAACAAGGAACAUCACAUUAUUCUUGGAUAACGGCAAUAAUUGUAUCAUUACUGAUUAUCAUCAGUUCUUCAUGGCGCAUCUCUCUAUGCAGGUAUUGACGCAGCCGACAACUUCCUUUGAAGCUGACAAAAACAAAACAAAUCAUUAAGUUAAUAUACGUACUUACUUACCAUCAAAUAUUAAUAUAAAACGGAAAAAGAAAAAUUACCAGGCAUCCUCCCUUGGCUGCUUAGCAUUGAACAUGUCAUGGCAGCACACCCAACAGUGCAGAAUACGGAGCUGCUCGCGAGGUGGGUUUCCUCCAAUGUCUCCACCAGUGCUUCUGACGGCAGGCAGCGUUGAAUACAUUCCCCAAGGGAAGUUCCGUUGGCGACGCAAGUCGUUACGCAAAAAGUAUACCCAAGUCCAAUCGGGACAAGUGCUGUAACAGCUUGACGCGAGGGACUAACAAGGAUCAACAACAGCAAACAGAACAUCAACGCCAAUGAUUUCCCCCCCAUUAUGUAUAUAUUUGAUUUGAUUUGAUAAUGAUUUUUUUGCACUGCUUGAUAUCGGUGUUAUAUACACUUUGAUUGUCAUGCCAAACUACCAAACUGCCUAAUUAAGAUGCCAAACUAUAAUGCCAAAAUUUGAUUGAAUGCAAAAUUAAAAGAACAUUUCUAUAAGUAAUCAAAAUAAUUUGAAAUGAAUUUGUCAUGCCAAACUACAUGGAAAAUGUCUAAUGUCUUGUCCUUUUUUUAGAAUUCUUCCUAAUAAUCUAAAUUCUUCCUAACCAUCCCAAAUAUUCUGAUUGUCAAUGUUCUUUCUCAGAUGUCAUGAAUCACAAAUGAACACUAAACCUUUAACUUCAUAUUUUAAACAUUAACAUCGAAGUAAACACUUAAACCGUGCAAAUAAAAUCUUGAUUCUCACCUUCACAGUGACUGUAUCCAUCUCCUUUGAUUUGCUCGCUAUCAACCAAGAGACAUUCACAAACUCUUCCUCGAAAUGUAUCUUAAGAAGAAAAUCAAUAUAUUCAAAUAAGCUCAUGGAGUAGAGAAUCCCUAUCAAAUCUGUUUCGAUUCAUACCCUGCAGGCUGUGAGAUUUGCUGCUUUUUCUUGCCAACAACCACCAUCAUUUUCCAAGCAUUCAUUCGUCUCCACAUCUGUGAAAAAAGUAACCGCCAUCACUGGUGUUUCAAAUAACAACUGGACAGUAAGUUGAAACACUACACUGGAUUUCUAAAAGCCUAGCUCUCGCCUAUGUUACUUAGUGUGAGAGUUGGAUAAGACAUAUGUCUGACAUGGACAUGUGCAAGUUGUUCUUCAUUUUCCCUGUAUUCAGAGUGUUUUUGGAGGGUCACAUCCCCAUACUCGUCUAUGAAAACGUGUCAGACACGGGUUCUCAAGAGAGGUAAAGAGUCAGCACCCCUAAGUGGAACCAGACUAAAAUACUUCUCUUGCAAGAAAAAUAAAACAAGACAAACUCACCACCACUCGAACAAACAGCUGGUUCAGUAGUCUCCUCGAAGCCGGCACAUAUGGCCUUCAAAACAGCACCUUUGGCCAGCUUUCCUGCAUGCAGAUAUGUUAAACGCGGAAAGCACCCAAAAUUUUAUCUGGGAAAUACGGGUAUAAAUACGAACCUCGAUAUUGGCGAUUGUUGACAACAAGUCUAGGCAAUAUGGUAACAUCUCCUCUAGAUCCUUUCCCCGCCUAUGAAAAUGUUUCUAUUAAAUAGCCUCAAAAAGGUCAAAGAAGACAACGAAUUGGAAAAAGAGUAGUGAAACAUAAAAUAUCUUAGCCUGAGAGGACUACUUGAGCAUCUUGUUCUUCUUCCAGAACAGGAUUCUCCAUAUCAGCAUCUGGAUCUCCCAAACACUUUUCGAUCUUUUUAGCGUCAAGCCCUGAAUGGAUGACAAAGGAAUAUCAUCAAUUUAUUACUAGUUUCCAGCAAGAUUUUGAGUUUUCACUGUGCUAUUAAUACUAACAGAAAUUUGAAGAUAAACCGAGGAUCUUCCAAUUAACUGUUUACCAAGAGAUUUGAUAACACCGUCUGCACAUUCCUUAUUAUAUCUUUUCUACUUCAUUGGCCAUCUUAUUUCAAAAUCAGUCACAUAGUCCCACCACACCCAAGGCCUAUUGGUCUCAUUUGCCACUUUGAAAACGCAAAGCUGCCUUAAGGUCUCAAUAACUACAUCUUUCCCUUCAUAACCUGAGCUAAAACCUUGUUCAGGAUCCGGUGCACAGUAUCUUCCGCGGUUGAUGCAUUGAGAUAUGCACUGCCGGCUUAGGGUGAAAGCUUGAGGGCAGUACCAAGUUAUAUAAUGGGGUGUGAACUGCGUAUAGCCACCUUUUUCGAGAAUCUUAGCAGCACCCUUGAAAUCCUUCACAAAUGCCAUCAGCAUAUCGCAUUUAACUCCACAUUCAUCAUUGCUCUUGGUCCAUAACUCGUACUCGUCACGAUCAUCAGGGUUAGAGUUUCACCAGAAGUUUUCUCGAUAAGGGCAGAUGAACUGUCCUCUUCGCGAUUGUCCCUGGUUAUUAAUGCUUCUUCUAUGUCAUCCGCAACAAGCACUGCAGAAGCACUGCUUGCCAUACAUUCCAAAUCUUUAAAGCAAAGAAGCAAUCUGGAGAAAUAAUAAGAAAAAAGGCGCUAAAUGCAGUCUCCGCAAAUAUAUAUAUAUAUCAAAAACUAAAGAAAAAUUACAUCUAAGACCAUAACUCAAUCAAGGACAAUAAGCAAAUUUUACAACCUUGGCAGCAACUGGAGUCCGUAUAUAGGCAACACUUCAGAUUUUUCUCAUCUCUUUAACAGUGUAAUCACAUUAUAGUAAUGUAACUGAAUUAUCUAAUCCGGAAGUAACUAUAAGCCAUUACUACCUAAUGCUUAGAUCAACCAGCAUUCUGAACCUCAUUUUUAUCACCAUACAUCUGUUUGAGAACCAACCAAACUCAAAUCGUACACUCUAAAUCUAUGUUCACUCGGACUCGGGUAUGAGUUUCAAAUGUAGGCACAUGUUUGAGACGGAUAUGUUAGUUUUGGUUUUUCAUGUAUCUGGAGGAUCUUUGAAAAGUCAUGUGUCGCCCAUAUGCAUGUUCGGAUAUUGAGUCUAGAACGGGUACUUCAGACGGAUAUCCAGAGGAUCAUUAACAGCAUAAUCGCGUUGCAGUAAUGUAACUGAAUUAUCUAAUCCGGAGGUAACUAUAAGCCAUUACUACGAAAUGCUUAGAUCACCAUUAUUUUGAAACUCGUUUUUAUUAUCAUCCAUCUGUUUAAGAACCAACCAAACUCAAAUCAUACACUCUAAAUCUCUGUUUACUCCGACUUGGGUAUGAGUUUCAAAUAAAGGUAUGUGUUUGACACUGAUAUAUUCAAUUUUUCUUCAUGUACCUAGGGGAUCUUUGAGAAGACAUAUCACCGCACACAUGUUCAGAUAUUGAGUCCAAAACCGGUACUUCAAGCAAAACUGAGACUCAGAGAAACUUAGCUCUAAACCACUUUAUCCAUACUGGAGAAAACUAUACGCCAUUACUACGAAAUUCUUAGAUAACCAGCAUUUUGAAAUUCAUUUUUAUUAUCAUACAUCUGCCUUGAGAACCAACCCAACCCAAAGCAUAUAUGUUCACUUGGACUCUGGGUGUGAGUUUCAAAUACAGGUAUGUGUUUGACACGGAUAUAUUCAAAUUUUUGUUCAUGUACCUAGAAGGAUCUUUGAAAAAUCAGAUCACCGUACACAUGUUCGGAUAUUGAGUCUAAAACUGGUACUUAAAGCAAAACCAAGAAUCUGAGAAACUUAGCUCUACUUUUGUAGACACCUCUAAGGCUACAUCCCUAUGAAAGGAGGGAAAUGAAGCUAAAUGAAUGGACCUAAUUUCAGAAAACAACUAGUAAGAUAAAAAGAGAGAAAGACAUCCGUCCAAACAACUUAAAGCAAAGCUGAAAACAAGUAAAUUAAUUCAUAAAUGAACGGAUAAAUAUAUAAAUAAUGAUAAUGAAAUCAAUGGAAACUGAUAAACCUAAAUUUAUUUAAAUGAAUUAGUUAAAAUAUAAUAACAUAAAUCCAAGUAGAUGGAAAAACCAAAUCUAUUAACCCUCAAAUCCCAAACUAUCAAAUAGAUUAUUGCCCCAUAAAUAAACCAAAUCCAACAAAUUGAACUUUAAACCUACUAUUUAAAUUCCCCAAUUUGGAAUUACUCAAAUUAGCUAAAACAACACAAAAAUUCCUCAUUGAUCAACCCUACAACAAACAAAUUAUAGCUCAAAUAAACAAAACCAUAGAUUAAUUUUUCUUAGAAGGCGAAAAUUUUGAAAAAAAGAAGAAGAAAAGUGUACCUCCACGAUCGACCAGAACAUAGGUAGGAAGAGAACCAGGCUUGGAUAUAACCGAAAUCCCAAAGUCAUCAAAACCUUUACAAGCUUUUCGGUUUUCUUCAGGGUAAACCACAACACCAGCCAUGCUUCCACCACAUUGAGGUAUCCCAAAGUUCCCAAUCGCACUAUCAUGGGUUGCUUUAAUCUUCUCCGGCGAUGUUACCGCCAAGCUCUUCUUUUCCACCACGAAUCUCGCGUAACAAUUGCGUAUCAAAGAUAAUAAAAUAAACACUUGAGGAAGAUGAUGAUGAUGGAAUGUUCGUAGCUCCAUAUCUUUACUUUUGGUUUUGGAUUUGGAUUGGAUCAGUUUUAAGGACGAUACUGAUGAAGAAGAUGAAGAUCGUGUAUGAAAAACAUGUAAAAUGAAAUGGUUUUUUUGAAAAAAAUAAAAACAGUGAAAAUCGCCAUUAAAUAAUUCUAUGAUUCUUUUAUUUGUUUUAAAUGAAUUUAGAACACAGUUAGUGAAAUUUUGACACGCUACUAAUAAAUAAUCUUAGUCAUUUAUAGAUUAAACAUUUUUCUUUUUUUUAAACAGUGCAAUGAGACCAAAUCCAGUCAUCUGAAGUAAACUUAAUGGGUUUAUGUUUUUCUUAGCCCCUAAAUUUUCACCUACCGUUUAAUUUAGUACAUGUUAAAAAAAAUCCAAUUUAGUCAUUUGUAUUAUACGUGACGGUCUUCUACAUAUACGAAGUCGUUUAAGUUUCGUUCCGGUGAAGAUUUCAAUAUGCUUAGCAUGUUCCAAAGUCCUUUGGCCCAUUCUAGCCAGUAUCGGCCCGUAUCAAUUGGUACAAAAUUUUGAUAUUUAAACUUAUCUUUUAAUUUUUUAUCUUAAACAUUUUAACUUUUUAUAACUACGUUUAAAAUUAAAAUAAACUGAAGCUAUUGAACCAAUUAAUAGAUUUAAAACUUAUUUUUACAUAUAGAUAGAUGUAAUUGAAAUAUAUCAAGAAAUUUUUCGAUGCAUUUAGCACAUAAAAUCCUCCAAAAAAUAAGGAAAACAGUUAAAUAAUAUAACAUGAAGGAUUCAACAAAAACAACCAACAAGGAACAUCACAUUAUUCUUGGAUAACGGCAAUAAUUGUAUCAUUACUGAUUAUCAUCAGUUCUUCAUGGCGCAUCUCUCUAUGCAGGUAUUGACGCAGCCGACAACUUCCUUUGAAGCUGACAAAAACAAAACAAAUCAUUAAGUUAAUAUACGUACUUACUUACCAUCAAAUAUUAAUAUAAAACGGAAAAAGAAAAAUUACCAGGCAUCCUCCCUUGGCUGCUUAGCAUUGAACAUGUCAUGGCAGCACACCCAACAGUGCAGAAUACGGAGCUGCUCGCGAGGUGGGUUUCCUCCAAUGUCUCCACCAGUGCUUCUGACGGCAGGCAGCGUUGAAUACAUUCCCCAAGGGAAGUUCCGUUGGCGACGCAAGUCGUUACGCAAAAAGUAUACCCAAGUCCAAUCGGGACAAGUGCUGUAACAGCUUGACGCGAGGGACUAACAAGGAUCAACAACAGCAAACAGAACAUCAACGCCAAUGAUUUCCCCCCCAUUAUGUAUAUAUUUGAUUUGAUUUGAUAAUGAUUUUUUUGCACUGCUUGAUAUCGGUGUUAUAUACACUUUGAUUGUCAUGCCAAACUACCAAACUGCCUAAUUAAGAUGCCAAACUAUAAUGCCAAAAUUUGAUUGAAUGCAAAAUUAAAAGAACAUUUCUAUAAGUAAUCAAAAUAAUUUGAAAUGAAUUUGUCAUGCCAAACUACAUGGAAAAUGUCUAAUGUCUUGUCCUUUUUUUAGAAUUCUUCCUAAUAAUCUAAAUUCUUCCUAACCAUCCCAAAUAUUCUGAUUGUCAAUGUUCUUUCUCAGAUGUCAUGAAUCACAAAUGAACACUAAACCUUUAACUUCAUAUUUUAAACAUUAACAUCGAAGUAAACACUUAAACCGUGCAAAUAAAAUCUUGAUUCUCACCUUCACAGUGACUGUAUCCAUCUCCUUUGAUUUGCUCGCUAUCAACCAAGAGACAUUCACAAACUCUUCCUCGAAAUGUAUCUUAAGAAGAAAAUCAAUAUAUUCAAAUAAGCUCAUGGAGUAGAGAAUCCCUAUCAAAUCUGUUUCGAUUCAUACCCUGCAGGCUGUGAGAUUUGCUGCUUUUUCUUGCCAACAACCACCAUCAUUUUCCAAGCAUUCAUUCGUCUCCACAUCUGUGAAAAAAGUAACCGCCAUCACUGGUGUUUCAAAUAACAACUGGACAGUAAGUUGAAACACUACACUGGAUUUCUAAAAGCCUAGCUCUCGCCUAUGUUACUUAGUGUGAGAGUUGGAUAAGACAUAUGUCUGACAUGGACAUGUGCAAGUUGUUCUUCAUUUUCCCUGUAUUCAGAGUGUUUUUGGAGGGUCACAUCCCCAUACUCGUCUAUGAAAACGUGUCAGACACGGGUUCUCAAGAGAGGUAAAGAGUCAGCACCCCUAAGUGGAACCAGACUAAAAUACUUCUCUUGCAAGAAAAAUAAAACAAGACAAACUCACCACCACUCGAACAAACAGCUGGUUCAGUAGUCUCCUCGAAGCCGGCACAUAUGGCCUUCAAAACAGCACCUUUGGCCAGCUUUCCUGCAUGCAGAUAUGUUAAACGCGGAAAGCACCCAAAAUUUUAUCUGGGAAAUACGGGUAUAAAUACGAACCUCGAUAUUGGCGAUUGUUGACAACAAGUCUAGGCAAUAUGGUAACAUCUCCUCUAGAUCCUUUCCCCGCCUAUGAAAAUGUUUCUAUUAAAUAGCCUCAAAAAGGUCAAAGAAGACAACGAAUUGGAAAAAGAGUAGUGAAACAUAAAAUAUCUUAGCCUGAGAGGACUACUUGAGCAUCUUGUUCUUCUUCCAGAACAGGAUUCUCCAUAUCAGCAUCUGGAUCUCCCAAACACUUUUCGAUCUUUUUAGCGUCAAGCCCUGAAUGGAUGACAAAGGAAUAUCAUCAAUUUAUUACUAGUUUCCAGCAAGAUUUUGAGUUUUCACUGUGCUAUUAAUACUAACAGAAAUUUGAAGAUAAACCGAGGAUCUUCCAAUUAACUGUUUACCAAGAGAUUUGAUAACACCGUCUGCACAUUCCUUAUUAUAUCUUUUCUACUUCAUUGGCCAUCUUAUUUCAAAAUCAGUCACAUAGUCCCACCACACCCAAGGCCUAUUGGUCUCAUUUGCCACUUUGAAAACGCAAAGCUGCCUUAAGGUCUCAAUAACUACAUCUUUCCCUUCAUAACCUGAGCUAAAACCUUGUUCAGGAUCCGGUGCACAGUAUCUUCCGCGGUUGAUGCAUUGAGAUAUGCACUGCCGGCUUAGGGUGAAAGCUUGAGGGCAGUACCAAGUUAUAUAAUGGGGUGUGAACUGCGUAUAGCCACCUUUUUCGAGAAUCUUAGCAGCACCCUUGAAAUCCUUCACAAAUGCCAUCAGCAUAUCGCAUUUAACUCCACAUUCAUCAUUGCUCUUGGUCCAUAACUCGUACUCGUCACGAUCAUCAGGGUUAGAGUUUCACCAGAAGUUUUCUCGAUAAGGGCAGAUGAACUGUCCUCUUCGCGAUUGUCCCUGGUUAUUAAUGCUUCUUCUAUGUCAUCCGCAACAAGCACUGCAGAAGCACUGCUUGCCAUACAUUCCAAAUCUUUAAAGCAAAGAAGCAAUCUGGAGAAAUAAUAAGAAAAAAGGCGCUAAAUGCAGUCUCCGCAAAUAUAUAUAUAUAUCAAAAACUAAAGAAAAAUUACAUCUAAGACCAUAACUCAAUCAAGGACAAUAAGCAAAUUUUACAACCUUGGCAGCAACUGGAGUCCGUAUAUAGGCAACACUUCAGAUUUUUCUCAUCUCUUUAACAGUGUAAUCACAUUAUAGUAAUGUAACUGAAUUAUCUAAUCCGGAAGUAACUAUAAGCCAUUACUACCUAAUGCUUAGAUCAACCAGCAUUCUGAACCUCAUUUUUAUCACCAUACAUCUGUUUGAGAACCAACCAAACUCAAAUCGUACACUCUAAAUCUAUGUUCACUCGGACUCGGGUAUGAGUUUCAAAUGUAGGCACAUGUUUGAGACGGAUAUGUUAGUUUUGGUUUUUCAUGUAUCUGGAGGAUCUUUGAAAAGUCAUGUGUCGCCCAUAUGCAUGUUCGGAUAUUGAGUCUAGAACGGGUACUUCAGACGGAUAUCCAGAGGAUCAUUAACAGCAUAAUCGCGUUGCAGUAAUGUAACUGAAUUAUCUAAUCCGGAGGUAACUAUAAGCCAUUACUACGAAAUGCUUAGAUCACCAUUAUUUUGAAACUCGUUUUUAUUAUCAUCCAUCUGUUUAAGAACCAACCAAACUCAAAUCAUACACUCUAAAUCUCUGUUUACUCCGACUUGGGUAUGAGUUUCAAAUAAAGGUAUGUGUUUGACACUGAUAUAUUCAAUUUUUCUUCAUGUACCUAGGGGAUCUUUGAGAAGACAUAUCACCGCACACAUGUUCAGAUAUUGAGUCCAAAACCGGUACUUCAAGCAAAACUGAGACUCAGAGAAACUUAGCUCUAAACCACUUUAUCCAUACUGGAGAAAACUAUACGCCAUUACUACGAAAUUCUUAGAUAACCAGCAUUUUGAAAUUCAUUUUUAUUAUCAUACAUCUGCCUUGAGAACCAACCCAACCCAAAGCAUAUAUGUUCACUUGGACUCUGGGUGUGAGUUUCAAAUACAGGUAUGUGUUUGACACGGAUAUAUUCAAAUUUUUGUUCAUGUACCUAGAAGGAUCUUUGAAAAAUCAGAUCACCGUACACAUGUUCGGAUAUUGAGUCUAAAACUGGUACUUAAAGCAAAACCAAGAAUCUGAGAAACUUAGCUCUACUUUUGUAGACACCUCUAAGGCUACAUCCCUAUGAAAGGAGGGAAAUGAAGCUAAAUGAAUGGACCUAAUUUCAGAAAACAACUAGUAAGAUAAAAAGAGAGAAAGACAUCCGUCCAAACAACUUAAAGCAAAGCUGAAAACAAGUAAAUUAAUUCAUAAAUGAACGGAUAAAUAUAUAAAUAAUGAUAAUGAAAUCAAUGGAAACUGAUAAACCUAAAUUUAUUUAAAUGAAUUAGUUAAAAUAUAAUAACAUAAAUCCAAGUAGAUGGAAAAACCAAAUCUAUUAACCCUCAAAUCCCAAACUAUCAAAUAGAUUAUUGCCCCAUAAAUAAACCAAAUCCAACAAAUUGAACUUUAAACCUACUAUUUAAAUUCCCCAAUUUGGAAUUACUCAAAUUAGCUAAAACAACACAAAAAUUCCUCAUUGAUCAACCCUACAACAAACAAAUUAUAGCUCAAAUAAACAAAACCAUAGAUUAAUUUUUCUUAGAAGGCGAAAAUUUUGAAAAAAAGAAGAAGAAAAGUGUACCUCCACGAUCGACCAGAACAUAGGUAGGAAGAGAACCAGGCUUGGAUAUAACCGAAAUCCCAAAGUCAUCAAAACCUUUACAAGCUUUUCGGUUUUCUUCAGGGUAAACCACAACACCAGCCAUGCUUCCACCACAUUGAGGUAUCCCAAAGUUCCCAAUCGCACUAUCAUGGGUUGCUUUAAUCUUCUCCGGCGAUGUUACCGCCAAGCUCUUCUUUUCCACCACGAAUCUCGCGUAACAAUUGCGUAUCAAAGAUAAUAAAAUAAACACUUGAGGAAGAUGAUGAUGAUGGAAUGUUCGUAGCUCCAUAUCUUUACUUUUGGUUUUGGAUUUGGAUUGGAUCAGUUUUAAGGACGAUACUGAUGAAGAAGAUGAAGAUCGUGUAUGAAAAACAUGUAAAAUGAAAUGGUUUUUUUGAAAAAAAUAAAAACAGUGAAAAUCGCCAUUAAAUAAUUCUAUGAUUCUUUUAUUUGUUUUAAAUGAAUUUAGAACACAGUUAGUGAAAUUUUGACACGCUACUAAUAAAUAAUCUUAGUCAUUUAUAGAUUAAACAUUUUUCUUUUUUUUAAACAGUGCAAUGAGACCAAAUCCAGUCAUCUGAAGUAAACUUAAUGGGUUUAUGUUUUUCUUAGCCCCCAAAUUUUCACCUACCGUGUAAUUUAGUACAUGUUAAAAAAAUCCAAUUUAGUCAUUUGUAUUAUACGUGACGGUCUUCUACAUAUACGAAGUCGUUUAAGUUUCGUUCCGGUGAAGAUUUCAAUAUGCUUCGCAUGUUCCAAAGUCCUUUGGCCCAUUCUAGCCAGUAUCGGCCCGUAUCAAUUGGUACAAAAUUUUGAUAUUUAAACUUAUCUUUUAAUUUUUUAUCUUAAACAUUUUAACUUUUUAUAACUACGUUUAAAAUUAAAAUAAACUGAAGCUAUUGAACCAAUUAAUAGAUUUAAAACUUAUUUUUACAUAUAGAUAGAUGUCAUUGAAAUAUAUCAAGAAAAUUUUCGGUGCAUUUAGCACAUAAAAUCCUCCAAAAAUAAGGAAAACAGUUAAAUAAUAUAACAUGAAGGAUUCAACAAAAACAACAAAGGAACAUCACAUUAUUCUUGGAUAACGGCAAUAAUUGUAUCAUUACUGAUUAUCAUCAGUUCUUCAUGGCGCAUCUCUCUAUGCAGGUAUUGACGCAGCCGACAACUUCCUUUGAAGCUGACAAAAACAAAACAAAUCAUUAAGUUAAUAUACGUACUUACUUACCAUCAAAUAUUAAUAUAAAACGGAAAAAGAAAAAUUACCAGGCAUCCUCCCUUGGCUGCUUAGCAUUGAACAUGUCAUGGCAGCACACCCAACAGUGCAGAAUACGGAGCUGCUCGCGAGGUGGGUUUCCUCCAAUGUCUCCACCAGUGCUUCUGACGGCAGGCAGCGUUGAAUACAUUCCCCAAGGGAAGUUCCGUUGGCGACGCAAGUCGUUACGCAAAAAGUAUACCCAAGUCCAAUCGGGACAAGUGCUGUAACAGCUUGACGCGAGGGACUAACAAGGAUCAACAACAGCAAACAGAACAUCAACGCCAAUGAUUUCCCCCCCAUUAUGUAUAUAUUUGAUUUGAUUUGAUAAUGAUUUUUUUGCACUGCUUGAUAUCGGUGUUAUAUACACUUUGAUUGUCAUGCCAAACUACCAAACUGCCUAAUUAAGAUGCCAAACUAUAAUGCCAAAAUUUGAUUGAAUGCAAAAUUAAAAGAACAUUUCUAUAAGUAAUCAAAAUAAUUUGAAAUGAAUUUGUCAUGCCAAACUACAUGGAAAAUGUCUAAUGUCUUGUCCUUUUUUUAGAAUUCUUCCUAAUAAUCUAAAUUCUUCCUAACCAUCCCAAAUAUUCUGAUUGUCAAUGUUCUUUCUCAGAUGUCAUGAAUCACAAAUGAACACUAAACCUUUAACUUCAUAUUUUAAACAUUAACAUCGAAGUAAACACUUAAACCGUGCAAAUAAAAUCUUGAUUCUCACCUUCACAGUGACUGUAUCCAUCUCCUUUGAUUUGCUCGCUAUCAACCAAGAGACAUUCACAAACUCUUCCUCGAAAUGUAUCUUAAGAAGAAAAUCAAUAUAUUCAAAUAAGCUCAUGGAGUAGAGAAUCCCUAUCAAAUCUGUUUCGAUUCAUACCCUGCAGGCUGUGAGAUUUGCUGCUUUUUCUUGCCAACAACCACCAUCAUUUUCCAAGCAUUCAUUCGUCUCCACAUCUGUGAAAAAAGUAACCGCCAUCACUGGUGUUUCAAAUAACAACUGGACAGUAAGUUGAAACACUACACUGGAUUUCUAAAAGCCUAGCUCUCGCCUAUGUUACUUAGUGUGAGAGUUGGAUAAGACAUAUGUCUGACAUGGACAUGUGCAAGUUGUUCUUCAUUUUCCCUGUAUUCAGAGUGUUUUUGGAGGGUCACAUCCCCAUACUCGUCUAUGAAAACGUGUCAGACACGGGUUCUCAAGAGAGGUAAAGAGUCAGCACCCCUAAGUGGAACCAGACUAAAAUACUUCUCUUGCAAGAAAAAUAAAACAAGACAAACUCACCACCACUCGAACAAACAGCUGGUUCAGUAGUCUCCUCGAAGCCGGCACAUAUGGCCUUCAAAACAGCACCUUUGGCCAGCUUUCCUGCAUGCAGAUAUGUUAAACGCGGAAAGCACCCAAAAUUUUAUCUGGGAAAUACGGGUAUAAAUACGAACCUCGAUAUUGGCGAUUGUUGACAACAAGUCUAGGCAAUAUGGUAACAUCUCCUCUAGAUCCUUUCCCCGCCUAUGAAAAUGUUUCUAUUAAAUAGCCUCAAAAAGGUCAAAGAAGACAACGAAUUGGAAAAAGAGUAGUGAAACAUAAAAUAUCUUAGCCUGAGAGGACUACUUGAGCAUCUUGUUCUUCUUCCAGAACAGGAUUCUCCAUAUCAGCAUCUGGAUCUCCCAAACACUUUUCGAUCUUUUUAGCGUCAAGCCCUGAAUGGAUGACAAAGGAAUAUCAUCAAUUUAUUACUAGUUUCCAGCAAGAUUUUGAGUUUUCACUGUGCUAUUAAUACUAACAGAAAUUUGAAGAUAAACCGAGGAUCUUCCAAUUAACUGUUUACCAAGAGAUUUGAUAACACCGUCUGCACAUUCCUUAUUAUAUCUUUUCUACUUCAUUGGCCAUCUUAUUUCAAAAUCAGUCACAUAGUCCCACCACACCCAAGGCCUAUUGGUCUCAUUUGCCACUUUGAAAACGCAAAGCUGCCUUAAGGUCUCAAUAACUACAUCUUUCCCUUCAUAACCUGAGCUAAAACCUUGUUCAGGAUCCGGUGCACAGUAUCUUCCGCGGUUGAUGCAUUGAGAUAUGCACUGCCGGCUUAGGGUGAAAGCUUGAGGGCAGUACCAAGUUAUAUAAUGGGGUGUGAACUGCGUAUAGCCACCUUUUUCGAGAAUCUUAGCAGCACCCUUGAAAUCCUUCACAAAUGCCAUCAGCAUAUCGCAUUUAACUCCACAUUCAUCAUUGCUCUUGGUCCAUAACUCGUACUCGUCACGAUCAUCAGGGUUAGAGUUUCACCAGAAGUUUUCUCGAUAAGGGCAGAUGAACUGUCCUCUUCGCGAUUGUCCCUGGUUAUUAAUGCUUCUUCUAUGUCAUCCGCAACAAGCACUGCAGAAGCACUGCUUGCCAUACAUUCCAAAUCUUUAAAGCAAAGAAGCAAUCUGGAGAAAUAAUAAGAAAAAAGGCGCUAAAUGCAGUCUCCGCAAAUAUAUAUAUAUAUCAAAAACUAAAGAAAAAUUACAUCUAAGACCAUAACUCAAUCAAGGACAAUAAGCAAAUUUUACAACCUUGGCAGCAACUGGAGUCCGUAUAUAGGCAACACUUCAGAUUUUUCUCAUCUCUUUAACAGUGUAAUCACAUUAUAGUAAUGUAACUGAAUUAUCUAAUCCGGAAGUAACUAUAAGCCAUUACUACCUAAUGCUUAGAUCAACCAGCAUUCUGAACCUCAUUUUUAUCACCAUACAUCUGUUUGAGAACCAACCAAACUCAAAUCGUACACUCUAAAUCUAUGUUCACUCGGACUCGGGUAUGAGUUUCAAAUGUAGGCACAUGUUUGAGACGGAUAUGUUAGUUUUGGUUUUUCAUGUAUCUGGAGGAUCUUUGAAAAGUCAUGUGUCGCCCAUAUGCAUGUUCGGAUAUUGAGUCUAGAACGGGUACUUCAGACGGAUAUCCAGAGGAUCAUUAACAGCAUAAUCGCGUUGCAGUAAUGUAACUGAAUUAUCUAAUCCGGAGGUAACUAUUUACCAAAAGAUUUGAUAACACCGUCUGCACAUUCCUUGUUAUAUCUUUUCUCCUUCAUUGGCCAUCUUAUUUCAAAAUCAGUCACAUAGUCCCACCACAUCCAAGGUCUAUUGGUCUCAUUUGCCACUUUGAAAACACAAAGCUGCCUUAAGUUCUCAAUAACUACAUCUUUCCCUUCAUAACCUGAGCUAAAAUCUUGUUCAGGAUCCGGUGCACAGUAUCUUCCGCGGUUGAUGCAUUGAGAUUUGCAAUGUCGACUUAGGGUG